Molecule: small nucleolar RNA, 84 nt
Filed under: Prolemur simus (greater bamboo lemur)
Lineage: Eukaryota; Metazoa; Chordata; Mammalia; Primates; Lemuridae
Description: Small nucleolar RNA MBII-202 (ENSPSMG00000010382.1)
Rfam family: Small nucleolar RNA MBII-202
About the family: MBII-202 is a member of the C/D class of snoRNA which contain the C (UGAUGA) and D (CUGA) box motifs. Most of the members of the box C/D family function in directing site-specific 2'-O-methylation of substrate RNAs.
Source: Rfam by way of RNAcentral
UGAUGACAGUCUCCGGAAUCGCUGCACCGCUUUGAUGAAAGUCCGUUUGAACCCUUUUCCCUCUGAGGACUGAGCGUUUCCGAU